This 501-nucleotide ribosomal RNA is filed under the name uncultured bacterium. RNAcentral's name for it is "partial 16S ribosomal RNA". It matches the Rfam family "Bacterial small subunit ribosomal RNA", at positions 28 to 523 of the family's 1533-position model. The record is from RNAcentral.
GAUGAACGCUAGCGACUGGCUUAACACAUGCAAGUCGAGAGGCAGCGGGGGUAGCAAUACCCGCCGGCGACCGGCGCACGGGUGAGUAACGCGUAUGCAACUUACCUAUCAGAGGGGAAUAACCCGGCGAAAGUCGGACUAAUACCGCAUGAAGCAGGGGCCCCGCAUGGGGAUAUUUGCUAAAGAUUCAUCGCUGAUAGAUAGGCAUGCGUUCCAUUAGGCAGUUGGCGGGGUAACGGCCCACCAAACCGACGAUGGAUAGGGGUUCUGAGAGGAAGGUCCCCCACAUUGGUACUGAGACACGGACCAAACUCCUACGGGAGGCAGCAGUGAGGAAUAUUGGUCAAUGGGCGCGAGCCUGAACCAGCCAAGUCGCGUGAGGGAUGAAGGUUCUAUGGAUCGUAAACCUCUUUUAUAAGGGAAUAAAGUGCGGGACGUGUCCUGUUUUGUAUGUACCUUAUGAAUAAGGAUCGGCUAACUCCGUGCCAGCCGCCGCGGUAA